This 233-nucleotide long non-coding RNA is filed under the name Musa acuminata (dwarf banana). Its description in RNAcentral is "long non-coding RNA (MACU_LNC011116)". Lineage: Eukaryota; Viridiplantae; Streptophyta; Magnoliopsida; Zingiberales; Musaceae. The record is from RNAcentral.
GGAGGGACACAUCCGAUUCAAGUCAUUUGGAGCCCUGAACCAGCCGCGUCGGCCCCAAGGUCGCGGCUAAAAAGUUACUUACCGUAACAGAUUGGCGCUAGAAGGAGGGCCAUUCCAAAUGUCAGGCGAUCAGCAAAUCUACCCCGGCGGAUCCUCAAAUGCGGAGCCCCCCGCCUUAGGGGAACGGCGUGACGAAACCCACGACGAACGCCCCGCAGCAGUGUCAGAACGCU